This 252-nucleotide ribosomal RNA is filed under the name uncultured bacterium. RNAcentral describes it as "partial 16S ribosomal RNA". It matches the Rfam family "Bacterial small subunit ribosomal RNA", at positions 524 to 776 of the family's 1533-position model. The record is from RNAcentral.
UACGUAGGUGGCAAGCGUUGUCCGGAUUUACUGGGUGUAAAGGGCGUGUAGGCGGGCUUUUAAGUCAGCGGUAAAAAUUCGGGGCUCAACCCCGUCCGGCCGUUGAAACUGGGGGCCUUGAGUGGGCGAGAAGAAGGCGGAAUGCGUGGUGUAGCGGUGAAAUGCAUAGAUAUCACGCAGAACCCCGAUUGCGAAGGCAGCCUUCCGGCGCCCUACUGACGCUGAGGCACGAAAGUGCGGGGAUCGAACAGG